UACUCAGCUCAUCCAAAGCCCACAUAAGA
Molecule: non-coding RNA, 29 nt
Filed under: Mus musculus (house mouse)
Lineage: Eukaryota; Metazoa; Chordata; Mammalia; Rodentia; Muridae
Source: RNAcentral